Molecule: ribosomal RNA, 725 nt
Filed under: uncultured bacterium
Lineage: Bacteria
Description: bacterial SSU rRNA
Rfam family: Bacterial small subunit ribosomal RNA
Source: RNAcentral
AACAGGAUUAGAUACCCUGGUAGUCCACGCCCUAAACGAUGUCAACUAGCUGUUGGGGCCUUCGGGCCUUGGUAGCGCAGCUAACGCGUGAAGUUGACCGCCUGGGGAGUACGGUCGCAAGAUUAAAACUCAAAGGAAUUGACGGGGACCCGCACAAGCGGUGGAUGAUGUGGAUUAAUUCGAUGCAACGCGAAAAACCUUACCUACCCUUGACAUGUCUGGAAUUCCGAAGAGAUUUGGAAGUGCUCGCAAGAGAACCGGAACACAGGUGCUGCAUGGCUGUCGUCAGCUCGUGUCGUGAGAUGUUGGGUUAAGUCCCGCAACGAGCGCAACCCUUGUCAUUAGUUGCUACGAAAGGGCACUCUAAUGAGACUGCCGGUGACAAACCGGAGGAAGGUGGGGAUGACGUCAAGUCCUCAUGGCCCUUAUGGGUAGGGCUUCACACGUCAUACAAUGGUCGGGACAGAGGGUCGCCAACCCGCGAGGGGGAGCCAAUCCCAGAAACCCGAUCGUAGUCCGGAUCGCAGUCUGCAACUCGACUGCGUGAAGUCGGAAUCGCUAGUAAUCGCGGAUCAGCAUGUCGCGGUGAAUACGUUCCCGGGUCUUGUACACACCGCCCGUCACACCAUGGGAGUGGGUUUUACCAGAAGUAGUUAGCCUAACCGUAAGGGGGGCGAUUACCACGGUAGGAUUCAUGACUGGGGUGAAGUCGUAACAAGGUAACC